Molecule: ribosomal RNA, 253 nt
Filed under: uncultured bacterium
Lineage: Bacteria
Description: partial 16S ribosomal RNA
Rfam family: Bacterial small subunit ribosomal RNA
Source: RNAcentral
UACAGAGGGUGCAAGCGUUGUUCGGAAUUACUGGGCGUAAAGGGCGCGUAGGCGGUUCGCUAAGUUGGAUGUGAAAACUCUGGGCUUAACCCAGAGCCUGCAUCCAAAACUGGCGAACUGGAGUACUGGAGGGGAAGGCGGAAUUCCUGGUGUAGCGGUGAAAUGCGCAGAUAUCAGGAGGAACACCGGUGGCGAAGGCGGGUCUCUGGGCCGAUACUGACGCUGAGGAGCGAAAGCGUGGGGAGCGAACAGG